UUUCCGUAGGUGAACCUGCGGAAGGAUCAUUAACACGUAUCCCCAAAACGUACCAACCCCUUUGUACGAACCAUAACCCGCGCUUCGAUUGUGUCCACUUUGUGGCAGUGGCCCAGCUGGGAACGGCUGUUGGUUUGCUGGUGCUGACGUGCUUUUUUGGCAUUUUGGCCGCAUGGUUGAUGCUGCCUACCUUUUUUUCUACAAACACUUUCCUAUUUUGACGGACAAAAUGAAACUUCUGGCUUGCCUUAACAGACAGCUGGAUUUUUUAUCUAGAUAUUGAACGCUGAACAACUUUUAGCAACGGAUAUCUUGGUUCUC
RNAcentral lists this unclassified non-coding RNA (321 nucleotides) under soil metagenome. Its description in RNAcentral is "partial contains small subunit ribosomal RNA, internal transcribed spacer 1, and 5.8S ribosomal RNA". The record is from RNAcentral.